RNAcentral lists this long non-coding RNA (449 nucleotides) under Setaria viridis. RNAcentral's name for it is "long non-coding RNA (SVIR_LNC005077)". The record is from RNAcentral. Lineage: Eukaryota; Viridiplantae; Streptophyta; Magnoliopsida; Poales; Poaceae.
AAGCUCCUAGCGCCACCCACCCCGUUCUUGAGAAGUUCUUCUCCCAGUUCCUUCUCAGUUCCUCCAAGUCACCCAGCAGCUUGCUCCUUUGUGCUGCGUAGAGCUCUCUUGUGAUCCGCAAGAAGCAGCGCCGCCGCCGGAGCAUCGCCAGUCUUAGUCCUUGCUCGAAGCUUUAGUCCCUCCGCCCAAGUCUGCCUCUUCCCGACCCCAAGCUUUCCUUUCAGGAAGAAGGUGAGUUGCCGACCCUAAGUCCGCCUCGCCCGACCCCUCCUAUCCGCCCGACCCCAGUUCCGUCUCGUCCGACCCUGUCUGUUCCGCCGACCCUUGUCCGCCUAGCCCGAGGGCUUGGCUGUGAUCUUUUUCUUCAACUCGAGGGUGUAUGUGUAAAACUUGGGAACCCUUCAGCGCUUGCGUCUGAGGAUCCCAGUUAUCACAUCCUCUAGUUCAAG